Molecule: ribosomal RNA, 316 nt
Filed under: uncultured Lachnospiraceae bacterium
Lineage: Bacteria; Bacillati; Bacillota; Clostridia; Lachnospirales; Lachnospiraceae
Description: bacterial SSU rRNA
Rfam family: Bacterial small subunit ribosomal RNA
Source: RNAcentral
GAUGAACGCUGGCGGCACGCCUAACACAUGCAAGUCGAACGGAGUUUAAGAGAGCUUGCUCUUUUAAACUUAGUGGCGGACGGGUGAGUAACACGUGAGCAACCUGCCUUUCAGAGAGGGAUAGCUUCUGGAAACGGAUGGUAAUACCUCAUAACAUAUUGAUACGGCAUCGUAUUAAUAUCAAAGAUUUAUCGCUGAAAGAUGGGCUCGCGUCUGAUUAGCUGGUUGGUGAGGUAACGGCCCACCAAGGCAACGAUCAGUAGCCGGACUGAGAGGUUGAACGGCCACAUUGGGACUGAGACACGGCCCAGACUCC